Molecule: ribosomal RNA, 427 nt
Filed under: uncultured bacterium
Lineage: Bacteria
Description: partial 16S ribosomal RNA
Rfam family: Bacterial small subunit ribosomal RNA
Source: RNAcentral
UGGGGAAUAUUGCACAAUGGGCGCAAGCCUGAUGCAGCCAUGCCGCGUGUAUGAAGAAGGCCUUCGGGUUGUAAAGUACUUUCAGCGGGGAGGAAGGUGUUGAGGUUAAUAACCUCAGCAAUUGACGUUACCCGCAGAAGAAGCACCGGCUAACUCCGUGCCAGCAGCCGCGGUAAUACGGAGGGUGCAAGCGUUAAUCGGAAUUACUGGGCGUAAAGCGCACGCAGGCGGUCUGUCAAGUCGGAUGUGAAAUCCCCGGGCUCAACCUGGGAACUGCAUUCGAAACUGGCAGGCUAGAGUCUUGUAGAGGGGGGUAGAAUUCCAGGUGUAGCGGUGAAAUGCGUAGAGAUCUGGAGGAAUACCGGUGGCGAAGGCGGCCCCCUGGACAGAGACUGACGCUCAGGUGCGAAAGCGUGGGGAGCAAACA